RNAcentral lists this ribosomal RNA (251 nucleotides) under uncultured Acaulospora. Its description in RNAcentral is "partial 18S ribosomal RNA". The record is from RNAcentral. Lineage: Eukaryota; Fungi; Glomeromycota; Glomeromycetes; Diversisporales; Acaulosporaceae.
UCCCAACUAUCCCUAUUAAUCAUUACGGUGAUCCUAGAAACCAACAAAAUAGAACCAAGCCGUCCUAUUUUAUUAUUCCAUGCUAAUCUAUUCAAGCACUAGCCUGCUUUAAGCACUCUAAUUUUUUCAAGGUAAUAGAUCUGCUUCCCCAACGCACUAAAUUAAUAGCAUGCUGGUUUAAUUUCCAAGGAAAGAAUCCAUCAAAUCAGUACGAACAGUGAAGCCCGACCAAUUGACAAAUCCCGAAAUUC